Non-coding RNA from Zonotrichia albicollis (white-throated sparrow), 2790 nucleotides. NCBI's taxonomy places the organism in Eukaryota, Metazoa, Chordata, Aves, Passeriformes, Passerellidae. The record is from RefSeq and is a predicted model, not a curated record.
GACAACAAGGCCUUUCAGUUUACUUCUCCCAUUUUUCCCUUAAUAUUAUUUUCUUUAAAAACCCUUUUUUAUUUUUUCCCCUUCUUCAGCGUGUUCUUGUUCUUUCUCUUUUUUUUUCCCCUCCCUUGCCCUUUUUAUAUUAUUUUUACUUUCCCCAACCCCUGUCAUUUAGAAAUCACAUAAUUAAUUGAGCACAUCCUGUGCCACACGGGGCUGCCACGACUUUGAAGUCCCAAUAGAUCAUUUUAUGGAGCCGUGGGUACCAUUUUUUCCGAGGCAGCACCAGGCGCCAGCUCGAGGCCUUGUGGAAUUCAGCAUAUCCUACUCCAGGAAAGUGUGCUCUGAUUUAGCAUCAUGGAGCGGGGAGCUGUUACUGAUCCUGCAGCAGCAGCGAGGCAAAAGGACCCUGACAGGCUCUAUUAACCCUUAAAAACAAUAAAUGAUCUCAUCAGCCCCUCCAAGACAGAAGAAGAAAUAAUAAUGCAAUCAUUGACUUGGCUAUUUAUGUGAAGAACAGAGAGAAGACAGAAGCUGAAUGGAAAAAAUCUUAGAGUGAAAAAUAAUUGAGCUUGCACCACAUUGCCUCCUGCAUUUGGAACAAAGGGCUGCAAAACUCCCUAAAAACUCUUUAAAUCUGAGAACCUGAGUCAGGAACUUCUGGAGAUGCAUUGAAAAUUGUUAAUUUUCAUGUAUUUUUAGCACUUUUUGAAAAGACAACCAGCAUCACUCGGGGUGGUUUUCUAGAACUGUGCAGAAUGAUUAUCUUCCCUCUGGAAUGAUGGGAAUUCUGUCACUGGAAAGAAGAGAAAUGUGAUUUUUUGGUACAGAUAUUUCAGCCAUCUCCUGACAUCUGAUGGGAAAUCCCACUCCUGCCUGUGAAUCCAUAAAAGCUUUUCAAAAUCCUGUAGGAAAAAAAAUAAAAUCAUCUUAUUCUCCAUGAAAUUCUGAACAGUUUAAAGAUGAUUUCUGGGCAUAUUUAUGGUUCAUUUUAUAGAGCUUCUUUAAUUUCAUGGCUGCUUGGGGUCUUAUUCAAAAUCCCACGUUGGAAAUGAAAAAUUUCCAUUGUUUCCGAUGAAGCAGUGGAGAAACUUUCAGUGGGACUGAAAAUGGGAAUCAAUUCAUUCCAAAAUCCCUGAGGUUCAUUUUAAAAGUCUUGUGAGCAGAAAUUGCUCUGUCUGUGGGGCAAACUCAUUAAAUUCCUUGUCUUGUGCCUUGUAUUUUCAUCCUGAGCUGGAUAAACAGGCAGGAGAAUCCUCAUUUUAUAUUCAAAUGCUCUCCAAAAUGAUGCCAGCAGGAAAAAGGGUGAAUUGAACAGGGUUGGAAUUAAAAUUGGAGAUCUCCAGUCAUUCAUAAUCCUCUAAAAACUGCUUUAUAUAGUGAAUAUUUGAUGAUGCCAUUAAAUAAAUUUUUAUUUAUAUUUUUAUAUUUAGAUAUUUUUGUAUUUGUCAUUCUGUUUUAGACAGAUAUUUAGUGUAAGUUAUUCCAGUUUUCUGCCUCUCUCCCUUUUUUCUCCCUUCCCUUCUGGAAAACUCACACCUUCACUAAAAGUGAGGAAUACAUUGAAAUUUAUGCUCUCUUAAUUUGAAUCCUGCUUACUAAUUACUCUCCUAAUUUGGAUCCUUUGUAGGAUGACAAAAAUAAUGAUGGCUCUUCCUCUUGAGCUGCUUUUCCCUGGAUUGGGAAUGGAUCCUGCAGCCACAGAGGGAUUGCUCUGAUUUUUGCAGGGCAGAAAUGGAACCCAAACCAGCCCAUCCUGUGUUUGUGCUUUCUCAGCACAGGGGAUGUGACAGCUCUGGAACACCUGAAAGGGCUCUGGGUGCUGCAGGAUCUUCUGUCCUCAUGUAAGGGCUUCCACAUCACAGCAUCAGCCUGAAAAAUAAUCCUGAACCAAGAAAUCGCAGUGAGGGAGGAGCAGAAGGAAGGAGGCCGCAAAUGGUGCUCACAAAUGGACAAUUUCCAGCAGUGCAACCCUCCCAAAUGUCCCAGCCUGGCCCUCCUGUUUCAUUUCAGACUCUGAAUUCAGAAACCCAUCCAUCUUUUCAUCAGGUCAUUUUUGCAGGCAAGUGAAAAUAAAGGGCAGUGCCUUGGUGAAAGCUGUGUACAAGAUAACCAAAGCAAAAUGUGCUUUUAUAAAUGACUGUGUCAUGCUGCCUGCUUUGGAAGGAUAUUUCGUGUGACUUAUCCCAGAUUUCUGCUUUUUCCCCUAUUUUCUCCCUUUCCUUGGCUCUCCUCUUCUGGAAAACCUCACACAUUCCCUAGAAAUGGAGAAUAUCAGGAGUUUCAUGCUCUCCUAAUUUGAAUCUACUUGCAGCAGGAUGAGAACAAUAAUUCCAGGUUCUCUGAAUGGUGGCUCAGCUUAGACCUGUGUUACCCUGAUGCCUUUUCCUUGCUCUUAAAAUUAAAAGCUAGACACAGUUAAGGGAUAAAGGUUUUUUAUUUCAGCAUUUCAAUGGUGUAAUAAUUUGUUAAGGUGGAGUAUAUAGAAAUGUAUAUUUAUGAUGUGUUGCAUAUAUAAUUUUAUAGACUUUGCAAAUUAGCAUAUUUGACAAAGGGGUUUAAACGAGUAGUGUGACAUCUCUUUAUCUUAACGCAUUUCUUAAAGAUGGAUUUAUUUUUAAUUUAUAAGAUAUGCUCUAGAGCGGGCUUUGGUUUUUUAAGAUAUCUUUGGCUUUUAAUUGUGAGGCUUUUAGGAUAUUUGGUUUUCUGGCUUAAUAGAAUAUUAGUAUUAUGUAAAGAUAUUUGACUUAAAGAAUGACAAGUAUGUAUGUUAAGGUAUCUACAUACCUUAUU